Molecule: non-coding RNA, 73 nt
Filed under: chicken gut metagenome
Source: RNAcentral
UGAGCCGUGUGAGGGGAAACUCUCAUGCACGGUUCUUAGAGGGGAAGAGGAUAGUAAUAUCCUUGACCUACUC